Molecule: ribosomal RNA, 497 nt
Filed under: uncultured bacterium
Lineage: Bacteria
Description: partial 16S ribosomal RNA
Rfam family: Bacterial small subunit ribosomal RNA
Source: RNAcentral
GACGAACGCUGGCGGCGUGCCUAAUACAUGCAAGUUGAGCGCUGAAGGUUGGUACUUGUACCAACUGGAUGAGCAGCGAACGGGUGAGUAACGCGUGGGGAAUCUGCCUUUGAGCGGGGGACAACAUUUGGAAACGAAUGCUAAUACCGCAUAAAAACUUUAAACACAAGUUUUAAGUUUGAAAGAUGCAAUUGCAUCACUCAAAGAUGAUCCCGCGUUGUAUUAGCUAGUUGGUGAGGUAAAGGCUCACCAAGGCGAUGAUACAUAGCCGACCUGAGAGGGGGAUCGGCCACAUUGGGACUGAGACACGGCCCAAACUCCGACGGGAGGCAGCAGUAGGGAAUCUUCGGCAAUAGACGAAAGUCUGACCGAGCAACGCCGCGUGAGUGAAGAAGGUUUUCGGAUCGUAAAACUCUGUUGGUAGAGAAGAACGUUGGUGAGAGUGGAAAGCUCAUCAAGUGACGGUAACUACCCAGAAAGGGACGGCUAACUACGUG